GAUGAAGGAGGCCUCAUUUGUCUGGGUUACAAAAUUUAUUCAGAUUUAAGUUAGACAUUUAGUGAAUACAAAUGUCUUUCAUCAACAAAGCAGCAAUCCUGAAGAAUAUGAUUUGGACUCUGCUACAUUAUGUUCAAGGCUUCGGUAGAAAUCUCUCUUUUGUCACAACACAUUGUCAAAAACAGCAGAGGAAGAACAAAAGUGUUUGAGUAACUAUGCCUGAUUUGCAUAGAGUUAGAACUGCACACGCGUCUAUUUAAAGUCAAAUAACUUCACACGUGUGAAUAUCUUUCAUGCUACCCUGAGCUUUUGCACCUUAGAAAAACUGUUCUGUAGAAAUAUUCUUUUACUAUAUCAGGGUUUGUUUGUUGUUUUGUUUUGUUUUGUUUUUUUCCCUUCUUUAUAUGUCAUACUAGUUUGAAAUGCAGCUCAUUUAUAAUCUUGUUCCUGCACACAUUCUGUCAAUUCAGUCUCCUAUCUAGGA
Alligator sinensis (Chinese alligator) is the source of this 484-nucleotide long non-coding RNA. RefSeq lists it as uncharacterized. Lineage: Eukaryota; Metazoa; Chordata; Crocodylia; Alligatoridae. The record is from RefSeq and is a predicted model, not a curated record. The transcript is spliced from 3 exons.